Molecule: long non-coding RNA, 357 nt
Filed under: Helianthus annuus (common sunflower)
Lineage: Eukaryota; Viridiplantae; Streptophyta; Magnoliopsida; Asterales; Asteraceae
Description: sRNA HanXRQr2_Chr05g0201981
Source: RNAcentral
GGCGUGGCGCGAUGGUUGUCGGAUUUGGUGGGUUAGCCGGAUUUGGGGGUGUACGGUUGUCGGAUUUGGUGGGUCAUGUGUCUAAUAAUUAACCAGAGUAGAGUCGGUUAAACAACAACAGCAACAUGAAGGAGCUGUGAUUCAGUGGGAUAGGUUUUUGCCUCUUAGGUCUCUCAAAGUUCUGCUUGUAGAAGAUGAUGACUCGACUCGUCGUGUUGUCAGCGUGCUGCUGCAUAAUUGCAGCUAUGAAGUGGUCAAUGAACUGAGAAAAAUCGAGAUAGUCUUAUUGUUGAAUGCUUUGUAUGUGAUACUGUCAAUUCCCACAUGCUUUAUAUGUGAUACUGUUGAUUCCCACUU